CGCAAAAGACAAAGAUCUCGCCCCCGGCUGUCGCAAGUCGCAACCUGAGCUUCUUCUCAAUAAAUUAAGACGUCAUAUCUCCCUCCCGAAUGGCCGGAGCCGUCUUCUUCUUAGGUCACGCCCUCCGGUGCACGGUUCGCCGAGCUCUCCCUUCUUGCUCUCCUGCUUGUUUCCUCGGUGCAGGGUACUCAAAAAUGGCUGAGGUAACAGCAGAAAAUGGUUACAAUCAUAUCACUCGUGUGCUAUUCUGCGGUUUUUAUUGGUCUGCUUCUCAAAAAUACACAAGGGAAUAUUUGCAGAACUAUCCAUUUAUUCAGAUUGAUGAAGUAGCUCUUGAUGACGUGCCUGAUGUUAUUGACAAAUACCAUAUUUGUGUAGUGAAAAAUCGGCGAAUGGACUCAAAAGUUAUUGCAAAAGCAGUUCAGAUGAAGCUUAUAAUGCAGUUUGGUGUUGGGUUAGAAGGUGUUGAUAUUGAUGCUGCCACACGACAUAAAAUUAAAGUUGCAAGGAUACCUGGAAGUGUAACCGGAAAUUCUGCAUCUUGUGCAGAAAUGGCAAUAUAUUUGAUGUUGGGUCUUCUUCGGAAGCAAAAGGAGAUGGAUGUUGCUGUAAAGCAGAAAAAUUUGGGAGAACCAACUGGGGAUACACUACUUGGGAAGACGGUCCUUAUCCUGGGAUUUGGAGCUAUUGGAGUUGACCUGGCAAAAAGAUUGCGAUCAUUUGGUGUAAAGAUCCUUGCAAUUAAAAGAAGAUGGACAUCAGAUUCAUUGCCAGCUGGUGUCUCAAAUGCUCAAAGUGAUGGGUUUGAUGGCCUGAUUGAUAAGAAAGGUGGUCCAGAGAAUAUGUAUGAAUUUGCUAGCGAGGCUGAUAUAGUUGUCACCUGCUUGACAUUAACCACUGAAUCAGUGAAGUCUCAUCUUCCUAUGUUGUUGUUAUUCUUCCAUAAAUUUGUCUGUUUCCUAUCUAAUGAAUUGUUACAAAUUUCAGGCUGGCAUUGUCGACGAAAAAUUCCUCUCACAUAUGAGAAAGGUUUGCAUAUUACUCAUGAAGACACAGUAUGUUUGUUAGGACAGAUUGUUGCUGUUGUCCUCAUCAUUGUCAUUAUUGUUGGGUUCCCUUCUGGUCAACGUUGCUCGAGGAGGUCUAUUGGAGUACAAUUCUGUUCUUCAUCACCUUGAAUCAGGAAACUUAGGUGGCCUAGGCAUUGAUGUUGCUUGGACUGAGCCAUUUGAUCCUGAUGAUCCGAUUCUGAAGUUUCCAAAUGUUUUGAUCACACCUCAUGUUGCGGGGGUUACCGAACAUUCCUAUAGAACUAUGGCGAAGGUUGUUGGUGACUGCGCCCUUCAACUUCAUGCUGGCAAACCAUUUUCAGGAAUAGAGAUUGUGAAUUAGAUGGUAGAGCUCGGUUGUGACCAAGGAAAAAAGAAAAGAGUUCAGCCAUGGAAAGGUCUGGAGGGCUAUUGGACCAUGCUCGGCCAUUCAUUUUAAAAAUAAAUGUCUAAAACAAACUAUUUGAUGAAUCUUAGGAUGGUCGAUAUUGGACAUCCUGCACUAAAUUUGAAUCUGCCUUUCAUAUCAUUAUGCUGGCUUCGGUACCAGGAUGCUUCUUGCAAGGAUGGCAGAGUAAUAUGAGCCUUAUCCUUGGAUUGGUAGGUAGAUUUUGCAGACCUA
Phoenix dactylifera (date palm) is the source of this 1671-nucleotide non-coding RNA. The record is from RefSeq and is a predicted model, not a curated record. NCBI's taxonomy places the organism in Eukaryota, Viridiplantae, Streptophyta, Magnoliopsida, Arecales, Arecaceae.